CAGCAGCCGCCGCGGGAAUACCGAGGGUGCGAGCGUUAAUCGGAUUUACUGGGCGUAAAGCGUGCGUAGGCGGCUUUUUAAGUCGGAUGUGAAAUCCCUGAGCUUAACUUAGGAAUUGCAUUCGAUACUGGGAAGCUAGAGUAUGGGAGAGGAUGGUAGAAUUCCAGGUGUAGCGGUGAAAUGCGUAGAGAUCUGGAGGAAUACCGAUGGCGAAGGCAGCCAUCUGGCCUAAUACUGACGCUGAGGUACGAAAGCAUGGGGAGCAAACAGGAUUAGAUACCCCAGUAGUCCCUGUCUCUUAUAC
RNAcentral lists this ribosomal RNA (304 nucleotides) under uncultured bacterium. RNAcentral's name for it is "partial 16S ribosomal RNA". It matches the Rfam family "Bacterial small subunit ribosomal RNA", at positions 506 to 807 of the family's 1533-position model. The record is from RNAcentral.